RNAcentral lists this long non-coding RNA (434 nucleotides) under Vitis vinifera (wine grape). RNAcentral describes it as "long non-coding RNA (VVIN_LNC004460)". Lineage: Eukaryota; Viridiplantae; Streptophyta; Magnoliopsida; Vitales; Vitaceae. The record is from RNAcentral.
UCCUGAUAGCUCGGGUGAUUUCUGUGCUGCUUCAAAUGGGCUUUGGCAGGAAAAUUCUGAGGGAGCCAAAUAUGCAUCUGGGUUUCACCAUGCUCCUCAUAAUUCUAGUAGUUUCUUUGAUGCAUCAAAUGUGCUUUGGCAGGAAUCUGAGGGAACCAAAAACACAUCUGGGUUUCACAAUGCUCCUGAUAAUUCUAGUGGUUUCUUUGAUGCUUCAAAUGGGCUUUGGCAAGAAUCUAGGGGAUCUGGGUUUCACAUUGCCUCUGGUAAUUCUAGGGAUUUGUUUGAUGCAUCAAAAGGGCUUUGGCAGGAACCUGAGGGAGCCAAACACGUAAGUGGGUCUCACAAUGGUCCAGAUAGUUCUAGUGAUUUCUUUGAUGCAUCAAAUGAGCUUUGGCAGGAAAAUCCUGAGGCAUCAAAACAAGUAUCUGGGC